Molecule: transfer RNA, 73 nt
Filed under: Sarcophilus harrisii (Tasmanian devil)
Lineage: Eukaryota; Metazoa; Chordata; Mammalia; Dasyuromorphia; Dasyuridae
Rfam family: tRNA
About the family: Transfer RNA (tRNA) molecules are approximately 80 nucleotides in length.
Source: Rfam by way of RNAcentral
AUCUAGGUGGUGCAGUGGAUAGAGCACUUGGUUUCAAAUCAGGAAAUCUUGAGUUCAUAUCUGACCCCAGAUA